AAAACAUGUUUGUUUGGAGUUAUAAAGAAUUUGACCUGCCCCCUGAUUAACUAUUAAAGGGCCGCAGUAUUAUAACUGUGCAAAGGUAGCAUAAUCAUUAGGUUUUUAAUUGAAAUCUCGUAUGAAUGGUUGGACAAAAGAAAGACUCUCUUUAUAUUAAGUUUUGAAUUUAACUUUUAAGUGAAAAGGCUUAAAUAUUCUAAAGGGACGAUAAGACCCUAUAAAACUUUACAUUGUUAUUAGUUUUGAUUGAAUUUAUGAAAUAAGAAUUUUAUUUGAUUAUUUGUUAUGUUGGGGAGACACAAGUAAAAUAUUUUUUUAACUGCUUGACAAUUAUACAAUUAUUAGUGAGUAAGUAGAAGAUCCUUUUAAGAUUAGUAGAUUAAGUUACUUUAGGGAUAACAGUGUAAUUUCUUUUGAGAGUUCUUAUCGAAAAAGAAGGUUGCAACCUCGAUGUUGAAUUAAAAUAUCUAUAUAAUGGAGAGGUUAUAUAAGAAGGUCUGUUCGACCUUGAAAUUUUUACAUGAUUUGAGUUCAAACCGGUGUGAGCCA
Molecule: ribosomal RNA, 552 nt
Filed under: Longpotamon acutum
Lineage: Eukaryota; Metazoa; Arthropoda; Malacostraca; Decapoda; Potamidae
Description: partial large subunit ribosomal RNA
Rfam family: Bacterial large subunit ribosomal RNA
Source: RNAcentral